UCCCCGGUGGCUCAGAGGUUAAAGCAUCAGCCUGUAAUGCGGGAGACCCGGGUUCGAUCCCUGGGUCAGGAA
Ovis aries (sheep) is the source of this 72-nucleotide transfer RNA. It matches the Rfam family "tRNA". Rfam says of the family: Transfer RNA (tRNA) molecules are approximately 80 nucleotides in length. Their secondary structure includes four short double-helical elements and three loops (D, anti-codon, and T loops). Further hydrogen bonds mediate the characteristic L-shaped molecular structure. tRNAs have two regions of fundamental functional importance: the anti-codon, which is responsible for specific mRNA codon recognition, and the 3' end, to which the tRNAs corresponding amino acid is attached (by aminoacyl-tRNA synthetases). tRNAs cope with the degeneracy of the genetic code in two manners: having more than one tRNA (with a specific anti-codon) for a particular amino acid; and 'wobble' base-pairing, i.e. permitting non-standard base-pairing at the 3rd anti-codon position. Lineage: Eukaryota; Metazoa; Chordata; Mammalia; Artiodactyla; Bovidae. The record is from Rfam.